UAUCAGUGGCUACCCGGACAUCGAAAUC
This 28-nucleotide small RNA is filed under the name Bombyx mori (domestic silkworm). RNAcentral's name for it is "piRNA piR-bmo-1957515". Lineage: Eukaryota; Metazoa; Arthropoda; Insecta; Lepidoptera; Bombycidae. The record is from RNAcentral.